RNAcentral lists this ribosomal RNA (623 nucleotides) under Lactococcus lactis. RNAcentral describes it as "bacterial SSU rRNA". It matches the Rfam family "Bacterial small subunit ribosomal RNA", at positions 70 to 679 of the family's 1533-position model. Lineage: Bacteria; Bacillati; Bacillota; Bacilli; Lactobacillales; Streptococcaceae. The record is from RNAcentral.
AGGUUGGUACUUGUACCGACUGGAUGAGCAGCGAACGGGUGAGUAACGCGUGGGGAAUCUGCCUUUGAGCGGGGGACAACAUUUGGAAACGAAUGCUAAUACCGCAUAAAAACUUUAAACACAAGUUUUAAGUUUGAAAGAUGCAAUUGCAUCACUCAAAGAUGAUCCCGCGUUGUAUUAGCUAGUUGGUGAGGUAAAGGCUCACCAAGGCGAUGAUACAUAGCCGACCUGAGAGGGUGAUCGGCCACAUUGGGACUGAGACACGGCCCAAACUCCUACGGGAGGCAGCAGUAGGGAAUCUUCGGCAAUGGACGAAAGUCUGACCGAGCAACGCCGCGUGAGUGAAGAAGGUUUUCGGAUCGUAAAACUCUGUUGGUAGAGAAGAACGUUGGUGAGAGUGGAAAGCUCAUCAAGUGACGGUAACUACCCAGAAAGGGACGGCUAACUACGUGCCAGCAGCCGCGGUAAUACGUAGGUCCCGAGCGUUGUCCGGAUUUAUUGGGCGUAAAGCGAGCGCAGGUGGUUUAUUAAGUCUGGUGUAAAAGGCAGUGGCUCAACCAUUGUAUGCAUUGGAAACUGGUAGACUUGAGUGCAGGAGAGGAGAGUGGAAUUCCAUGGGUUAG